This 449-nucleotide ribosomal RNA is filed under the name uncultured bacterium. Its description in RNAcentral is "partial 16S ribosomal RNA". It matches the Rfam family "Bacterial small subunit ribosomal RNA", at positions 29 to 523 of the family's 1533-position model. The record is from RNAcentral.
AAUGAACGCUGGCGGCAGGCCUAACACAUGCAAGUCGAACGAGACCUUCAGGUCUAGUGGCGCACGGGUGCGUAACGCGUGGGAAUCUACCCUUGGGUUCGGAAUAACAGUUAGAAAUGACUGCUAAUACCGGAUGAUGACGUAAGUCCAAAGAUUUAUCGCCCAAGGAUGAGCCCGCGUAAGAUUAGCUUGUUGGUGGGGUAAUGGCCUACCAAGGCGACGAUCUUUAGCUGGCCUGAGAGGACGAUCAGCCACACUGGGACUGAGACACGGCCCAGACUCCUACGGGAGGCAGCAGUGGGGAAUAUUGGACAAUGGGCGAAAGCCUGAUCCAGCAAUGCCGCGUGAGUGAUGAAGGCCUUAGGGUUGUAAAGCUCUUUUACCAGGGAUGAUAAUGACAGUACCUGGAGAAUAAGCUCCGGCUAACUCCGUGCCAGCAGCCGCGGUAA